RNAcentral lists this ribosomal RNA (465 nucleotides) under uncultured bacterium. Its description in RNAcentral is "partial 16S ribosomal RNA". It matches the Rfam family "Bacterial small subunit ribosomal RNA", at positions 338 to 795 of the family's 1533-position model. The record is from RNAcentral.
CCUACGGGAGGCAGCAGUGGGGAAUAUUGCGCAAUGGGCGAAAGCCUGACACAGCGACGCCGCGUGAGGGAUGAAGGUCUUCGGAUCGUAAACCUCUGUCAGCAGGGAAGAACGGUCACUGUGCUAAUCAGCAGUGAAUUGACGGUACCUGCAAAGGAAGCACCGGCUAACUCCGUGCCAGCAGCCGCAGUAAUACGGAGGGUGCGAGCGUUAAUCGGAAUUACUGGGCGUAAAGCGCUCGUAGGCGGUAUGUCAAGUCAAGGGUGAAAUCCCCGCGCUCAACGUGGGAACUGCCUUUGAAACUGGCAGACUGGAGUGUGUGAGAGGAUAGUGGAAUUCCAGGUGUAGGAGUGAAAUCCGUAGAUAUCUGGAGGAACAUCAGUGGCGAAGGCGACUAUCUGGCACAUAACUGACGCUGAGGAGCGAAAGCGUGGGUAGCAAACAGGAUUAGAUACCCUUGUAGUC